UUUUAGUAGAGACAGGGUUUCACUAUGUUGGCCAGGCUGGUCUCGAACUCCUGACCUCAUGAUCCACCCGCCUCAGCCUCCCAAAGUGCUGGGAUUACAGGCAUGAGCCACCGUGCCCGGACUUGGUACCAUCUUUAAAUGAAAUCUUCUAUAGGCUGGGAUUUCAGAGGCCUGGUUUUUAACUUCAGCUUUGUCAUACAGUCACAAUACAUUCUCUCUUUGAUCUACAUGAGCUCAAGUCAUCACUUUAUUCUUUUAAUAUAAUGAGGGUAAUUUGGUAUCAAACUAUACUUGACCUGUUUCCUUCCCCUUUGUCAGCUAAAUUUCUAGGAGAGCAUUGAGAAUCAAGAACCAUCAUGAUGUAUCAGCUAAAUAAGGUGUCAACAAAAACCAUGCUUGGCCUUGUAUGAAGCCCAGAGCUGGCAUUUCCCCACCCUUGGUCAUUCUCUUCCGCCCUGUGUCUAUCUAGGUCAGGCUUCUCAAACCUCACCAUGGCAGAUGCAUCAUUUGGAGACCUUGUGAAAAUGUAGACUCUGAUUCCCUAGGUCAAGGGCUGAGAUUCUGCAUUUCUUUCAAAAUCCCAGGUGAUGCUGCUGCUGCUGCUGCUGCUGCUGCUGCUGCUGCUGCUGCUGGUCUAGACCACAUUUUCAGAAGUAAGGAUUUAAACAAUCAGC
This 674-nucleotide long non-coding RNA is filed under the name Homo sapiens (human). RNAcentral describes it as "non-protein coding lnc-CLDN23-3:1". Lineage: Eukaryota; Metazoa; Chordata; Mammalia; Primates; Hominidae. The record is from RNAcentral.